GUUUGAUCCUGGCUCAGAACGAACGCUGGCGGCAUGCCUAACACAUGCAAGUCGAACGAUGCUUUCGGGCAUAGUGGCGCACGGGUGCGUAACGCGUGGGAAUCUGCCCUUGGGUCUGGGAUAACAGUUGGAAACGACUGCUAAUACCGGAUGAUAUCGCGAGAUCAAAGAUUUAUCGCCCGAGGAUGAGCCCGCGUAGGAUUAGCUAGUUGGUGGGGUAAAGGCCUACCAAGGCGACGAUCCUUAGCUGGUCUGAGAGGAUGAUCAGCCACACUGGGACUGAGACACGGCCCAGACUCCUACGGGAGGCAGCAGUGGGGAAUAUUGGACAAUGGGCGAAAGCCUGAUCCAGCAAUGCCGCGUGAGUGAUGAAGGCCUUAGGGUUGUAAAGCUCUUUUACCCGGGAUGAUAAUGACA
This 417-nucleotide ribosomal RNA is filed under the name Sphingomonas phyllosphaerae. RNAcentral describes it as "bacterial SSU rRNA". It matches the Rfam family "Bacterial small subunit ribosomal RNA", at positions 11 to 456 of the family's 1533-position model. Lineage: Bacteria; Pseudomonadati; Pseudomonadota; Alphaproteobacteria; Sphingomonadales; Sphingomonadaceae. The record is from RNAcentral.